This 455-nucleotide ribosomal RNA is filed under the name uncultured Bacillota bacterium. RNAcentral's name for it is "bacterial SSU rRNA". It matches the Rfam family "Bacterial small subunit ribosomal RNA", at positions 930 to 1382 of the family's 1533-position model. Lineage: Bacteria; Bacillati; Bacillota. The record is from RNAcentral.
CGGUGGAGUAUGUUGUUUAAUUCGAGGAUACACGAAGAACCUUACCAGGUCUUGACAUACCAUUGACCGGUCUAGAGAUAGACUUUUCGCUUUCGGCGACAAUGGAUACAGGUGGUGCAUGGUUGUCGUCAGCUCGUGCCGUGAGGUGUUGGGUUAAGUCCCGCAACGAGCGCAACCCCUAUUGAUAGUUGCUAAUAUUAAGUUAAGGACUCUAUUGAGACUGCCAGCGACAAGCUGGAGGAAGGUGGGGAUGACGUCAAAUCAUCAUGCCCUUUAUGACCUGGGCUACAAACGUACUACAAUGGCCAGAUACAAAGAGAUGCGAAGCCGCGAGGUGGAGCGAAUCCUAAAAAGCCGGUCUCAGUUCGGAUUGCAGGCUGCAAUUCGCCUGCAUGAAGUCGGAAUCGCUAGUAAUCGCAGGUCAGCAUGUCGCGGUGAAUACGUUCCCGGGUCUU